Nannospalax galili (Upper Galilee mountains blind mole rat) is the source of this 142-nucleotide small nuclear RNA. Its record names the gene U4. It matches the Rfam family "U4 spliceosomal RNA". Rfam says of the family: U4 small nuclear RNA (U4 snRNA) is a component of the major U2-dependent spliceosome. NCBI's taxonomy places the organism in Eukaryota, Metazoa, Chordata, Mammalia, Rodentia, Spalacidae. The record is from Ensembl.
AGCUUUGCACAGUGGCAGUAUUGUAGCCAAUGAGGUUUAUCUGAGAUGCAAUUAUUGCUAAUUGAAAACUUUUCCUAAAAUUCAGUUUCUUGGGUUGGAUAGAUGGCUCAGUGGUUAAAGCACUGACUGCUCUUGCAGAAGA